RNAcentral lists this transfer RNA (69 nucleotides) under Marmota monax (woodchuck). RNAcentral describes it as "tRNA.Ile". Lineage: Eukaryota; Metazoa; Chordata; Mammalia; Rodentia; Sciuridae. The record is from RNAcentral.
GGAGUGUAGCUCAGUCGUAGAGCCCUGGGUUAAUAUGCAUGAGGCCCUUGGUUCGAUCCCCAGCACCCA